ACACCGUCAUGUUUCCCUGGACCAGCUGAACAAACUCCCUCUCCUUUAAAUGUCGGAUGUGCUCGGGGAGGUACUCAGCAUGAAAGGCUGCUAGGAACUGCUCCCAAGUGACAGGCGUAGGCAGGGUGGUCUGCUUGAGCUCCCACCAACGAUCUGUUUCCCCCACUAGCAUGUAGGAAGCAAGAGUAACCCUCUGCUCAGGAACCACUCCUAAGGUCUUGAAAGCCUUCUCUGUCUCCGCCAACCAGUACUGGGCAUCUUCGAAAGAGGACUCCCCUGCAAAAGUGGAAGGGUUUAGUCUCCUGUACCUCUCUACGUAGCCCGGGUCAAUCAGGAAAGGAGCUGGGUCCCGUGAAAGAGGGACUGGGCCAGGCUGAGGAUAGACUGGGGGGCCCUGUGGUGGCACCUGCUGAUAUAGUAGGGGCACUGGAUUAUACUGUGACGGUGGUGCCGGGUGGUACUGUGGAGGAGCAAGCUCUUGCCGGGG
This 487-nucleotide long non-coding RNA is filed under the name Carica papaya (papaya). Its description in RNAcentral is "long non-coding RNA (CPAP_LNC014378)". Lineage: Eukaryota; Viridiplantae; Streptophyta; Magnoliopsida; Brassicales; Caricaceae. The record is from RNAcentral.